AAGGUGCUGCAUGGUUGUCGUCAGCUCGUGCCGUGAGGUGUUGGGUUAAGUCCCGCAACGAGCGCAACCCCUAUUCUUAGUUGCCAGCGAUUCGGUGGGGACUCUAAGAAAACUGCCCGCGCAAGCGUGGAGGAAGGUGGGGACGACGUCAAAUCAUCACGGCCCUUACGUCCAGGGCCACACACGUGCUACAAUGGUAGGGACAGAGGGCAGCCACCUGGUGACAGGGAGCGAAUCCUUAAACCCUAUCUCAGUUCGGAUCGGAGUCUGCAACUCGA
This 278-nucleotide ribosomal RNA is filed under the name uncultured Bacteroidota bacterium. Its description in RNAcentral is "uncultured Bacteroidetes bacterium partial 16S ribosomal RNA". It matches the Rfam family "Bacterial small subunit ribosomal RNA", at positions 1035 to 1315 of the family's 1533-position model. The record is from RNAcentral. Lineage: Bacteria; Pseudomonadati; Bacteroidota.